UACAGAGGGUGCAAGCGUUGUCCGGAAUUACUGGGCGUAAAGGGCGCGUAGGCGGCCUGCUAAGUCGAACGUGAAAUCCCUGGGCUCAACCCAGGAACUGCGUCCGAUACUGGUUGGCUUGAAUCCGGGAGAGGGAUGUGGAAUUCCAGGUGUAGCGGUGAAAUGCGUAGAUAUCUGGAGGAACACCGGUGGCGAAGGCGACAUCCUGGACCGGCAUUGACGCUGAGGCGCGAAAGCCAGGGGAGCAAACGGG
This 253-nucleotide ribosomal RNA is filed under the name uncultured bacterium. RNAcentral describes it as "partial 16S ribosomal RNA". It matches the Rfam family "Bacterial small subunit ribosomal RNA", at positions 524 to 776 of the family's 1533-position model. The record is from RNAcentral.